GUGGGGGAUAUUGCACAAUGGAGGAAACUCUGAUGCAGCGACGCCGCGUGAGUGAAGAAGUAUUUCGGUAUGUAAAGCUCUAUCAGCAGGGAAGAUAAUGACAGUACCUGACUAAGAAGCCCCGGCUAACUACGUGCCAGCAGCCGCGGUAAUACGUAGGGGGCAAGCGUUAUCCGGAUUUACUGGGUGUAAAGGGAGCGUAGACGGAAUGGCAAGUCUGAAGUGAAAUCCUGCGGCUUAACUGCAGAAUUGCUUUGGAAACUGUCAAUCUGGAGUGUUGGAGAGGUAAGCGGAAUUCCUGGUGUAGCGGUGAAAUGCGUAGAUAUCAGGAAGAACACCGGAGGCGAAGGCGGCUUACUGGACAAUAACUGACGUUGAGGCUCGAAAGCGUGGGAAGCAAACAGGAUUAGAAACCCCUGUAGUCC
Molecule: ribosomal RNA, 425 nt
Filed under: uncultured bacterium
Lineage: Bacteria
Description: partial 16S ribosomal RNA
Rfam family: Bacterial small subunit ribosomal RNA
Source: RNAcentral